Molecule: long non-coding RNA, 731 nt
Organism: Pantherophis guttatus
Lineage: Eukaryota; Metazoa; Chordata; Lepidosauria; Squamata; Colubridae
Source: RefSeq, a predicted model, not a curated record
GGGAGGGAUGUGUCUUUCUGGUGCUUUCAGUUGGGUUACAUUGGGAGAAGGUUCUCCACCAACCCCACCCCCACAUACCCACCCAUCUACUUCUCCUUCUGUAAACCAACUCAAGGAGGUUGUUUUAAGUGGCCAUUAAAGGCCAUUGAUCUGGAAACAGCACACACACGUGCCAACCACUCUUCAUGUAUCCAUUUACUGUCCAAGUUGUCAAAUGAUGAUAUGACUGGAUAUUAAGAAACCUCUUGUUUUGUCUUCAAGGAUGUCAUUUCACUUUGAACAAUCAUGUUGUCAAAUAGGCAGAGUGAUCAACAACUGGAGUUUCAGCAUGGUAAUUCUCAUUAGGACUUACUCUCAAUAGAUCUGUCUGCCUGCCUGUUGGCUGUCUCAGAACUAGCUCUCUGCGCUCAUCACAGCUAUCAAAUCAUGGACAAAAACGUAAAUCAUCAAUUGGUGGAGUUCAGCCUGCUCACGAGUAGUACUUUGGUAUUACACUCAAGUGCAAGAACAGUCAGAUGUGGUUACGAUCUCCUAUAGAAGGUCACUUGGGUCUACUAAUAAUGGGAGUUGAAGCAAAGAAGGGGCUGACGCUUUUGAAUGUGAUUUGGAUCAAAAUAUUCCUGAAGAUUUUGAAACCAACUUUCCUGGAAGAAUACACUAGGGAGCAUUGGAAAGUUUCUCAGAACAGAUCACAUAGUUUUGCGAGUUCUAUUAAAAAUUGCAAAAAUGAA